AACGAACGCUGGCGGCAUGCCUAACACAUGCAAGUCGAACGAGACCUUCGGGUCUAGUGGCGCACGGGUGCGUAACGCGUGGGAACCUGCCCUUAGGUUCGGAAUAACUCCCCGAAAGGGGUGCUAAUACCGGAUAAUGUCUUCGGACCAAAGAUUUAUCGCCUUUGGAUGGGCCCGCGUUGGAUUAGCUAGUUGGUAGGGUAAAAGCCUACCAAGGCGACGAUCCAUAGCUGGUCUGAGAGGAUGAUCAGCCACACUGGGACUGAGACACGGCCCAGACUCCUACGGGAGGCAGCAGUGGGGAAUAUUGGAUAAUGGGCGAAAGCCUGAUCCAGCAAUGCCGCGUGAGUGAUGAAGGCCUUAGGGUUGUAAAGCUCUUUUACCCGGGAUGAUAAUGACAGUACCGGGAGAAUAAGCGCCGGCUAACUCCGUG
This 433-nucleotide ribosomal RNA is filed under the name uncultured bacterium. Its description in RNAcentral is "partial 16S ribosomal RNA". It matches the Rfam family "Bacterial small subunit ribosomal RNA", at positions 29 to 507 of the family's 1533-position model. The record is from RNAcentral.